Bombus huntii is the source of this 1833-nucleotide RNA transcript. It is a transcript of the gene named protein disulfide-isomerase TMX3, with no coding region annotated. NCBI's taxonomy places the organism in Eukaryota, Metazoa, Arthropoda, Insecta, Hymenoptera, Apidae. The transcript is spliced from 11 exons. The record is from RefSeq and is a predicted model, not a curated record.
UAUAAGAAUCGUAUGGCGUCACAGGACGAAAACAUGGUAGAGGUGUAUCGGAUUUUAUCGUGUGUAUUUCAAUUUUACAGCUAAGAGCGUUAAUUACCUUAAUUAUGUGAAAGUAAAUUAAUCAAAUAUAAUAUUUUUGAUCUUAAGAUUUAACAAAAUAGGCUUUUCUCAAUAAAAAGCCUUUUUGCUGCAAUGGUAACAAUAACGAAAUUGGUGCUCAUCGCAGUUAUUUAUGUUUUUUCAGGUAUUUUUACUCCUGUAAUAGCAUCACGUGUACUUGAACUAAGCGACAGAUUUUUGGAUAUUCAUAAAGAUGGGCAGUGGCUUGUUAUGAUGUAUGCACCAUGGUGUGCACAUUGCAAAAGAUUAGAACCAAUUUGGUCUCUUGUAGCACAACAUUUACAUGCGACAUCAAUAAGAGUUGGAAGAGUUGAUUGCACCCGAUUUACAAGUGUUGCUCAUGCUUUUAAAGUUAAGGGAUUUCCAACUAUUAUAUUCUUAAAAGGUGAGCAAGAAUUUGUAUAUCAUGGAGAUAGAACACGAGAUGAAAUAGUAAAAUUUGCAUUAAGAGUAAGUGGCCCACCUGUUCAAGAAGUAACAAAAACUCAAAGUUUCGACACAAUUAAAAGGGAACGUGAUCUAUACUUUUUAUAUGUUGGAGAACGAUCUGGACCAUUAUGGGAAUUUUAUCAUAAGACUGCAGAUGUGUUCCAACCACAUGCAUUUUUCUAUCAGUCUCAUCCAAAUGUUGUUAGUAAACAUGCUCCUGUGGAAAAUACUCCUGCAUUGUUUGUCUAUAAGGAAAAUUUACAUUAUAAUUUUAGUGGCCAUGACAUAAAUAAUAUAGAAAAGUUAAAUGAGACAGUAUACAAAUGGAUAAAUGCAGAACGUUUUCCUACAUUCCCAAAAGUAACAAGAGGAAAUAUAAAUCAACUUUUCCUGACAAAUAAAAAUCUAGUAUUGGCAGUAGUAGAAGAAAAUCAACUAGAAGAAAUACCACUACACAUGACACGGUUCAAAGAUAUGGUAGAAUCUAUAAUUAAAAGCAAGCGAGAAAAAUAUCACGAUCAAUUUCAGUUUGGUUGGAUAGCUAAUCCAGAUCUAGUCAAUAGUAUAGCAAUGAUGGUUUUACCAUUGCCAAGCUUAAUUGUUAUUAAUACUACAACAAACCACCAUCACAUUCCAGAGGAUGAAACAGAAAAACUGACUCCUCAUGUGAUAGAGUUGUUCCUAGAGCAAAUUCGAAAUGAAAGUGCUCCGCGAUAUGGUGGAAACAGUUGGUUAAUUCGUAUAUAUAGAUCAUGGUUUGAAUUAAAAACAACUCUUUCUGCAAUGUGGAUGGGUAACCCCAUUCUAACAAUGGUUUUGUUUGGUUUACCAGCAGGAUUCUUAUCCUUAAUAUGUUAUGGUAUUUGUUGUCCAGAUAUUUUAGAUGCAGAUGACGAUGAAGAAGAUCAUCCAGGAGCAAAUCAUAUGAAAAGAGAUUGAAAUAACUGAAUUAUUGUAUUGUUUAUAUUAAACAGUUUUUAAAAAUUUUUAACCUAUUGUUUCUAAUUUCAUUUAGUCAAUGCAAUGAAAGAGAUUCUAUGAAUUAUAAAUAGAAUGAUAAAGAUUUAUCUUAGCUAAAUGGAACUUUCAUAAGACAAUACAAAUCAUGUAAGUAAACGAGCUUUUUUUAAACUGCAUAAUAAAUUUGUUUUACAUUGAAAUAUGUAAAUGUACUAAAGUUUCAUGUAAAGAAUGUAAGUGGCAAAUAAUGUUCUGUAUACUUAUAUUUGGAAUUACAGAUGUAUGUUUGUUUAUGUAAAUAUAGUGAAAAGUAUUUCAUAUCAA